This 2204-nucleotide ribosomal RNA is filed under the name Escherichia coli. RNAcentral's name for it is "partial 23S ribosomal RNA". It matches the Rfam family "Bacterial large subunit ribosomal RNA", at positions 609 to 2798 of the family's 2925-position model. Lineage: Bacteria; Pseudomonadati; Pseudomonadota; Gammaproteobacteria; Enterobacterales; Enterobacteriaceae. The record is from RNAcentral.
UGUAUAAUGGGUCAGCGACUUAUAUUCUGUAGCAAGGUUAACCGAAUAGGGGAGCCGAAGGGAAACCGAGUCUUAACUGGGCGUUAAGUUGCAGGGUAUAGACCCGAAACCCGGUGAUCUAGCCAUGGGCAGGUUGAAGGUUGGGUAACACUAACUGGAGGACCGAACCGACUAAUGUUGAAAAAUUAGCGGAUGACUUGUGGCUGGGGGUGAAAGGCCAAUCAAACCGGGAGAUAGCUGGUUCUCCCCGAAAGCUAUUUAGGUAGCGCCUCGUGAAUUCAUCUCCGGGGGUAGAGCACUGUUUCGGCAAGGGGGUCAUCCCGACUUACCAACCCGAUGCAAACUGCGAAUACCGGAGAAUGUUAUCACGGGAGACACACGGCGGGUGCUAACGUCCGUCGUGAAGAGGGAAACAACCCAGACCGCCAGCUAAGGUCCCAAAGUCAUGGUUAAGUGGGAAACGAUGUGGGAAGGCCCAGACAGCCAGGAUGUUGGCUUAGAAGCAGCCAUCAUUUAAAGAAAGCGUAAUAGCUCACUGGUCGAGUCGGCCUGCGCGGAAGAUGUAACGGGGCUAAACCAUGCACCGAAGCUGCGGCAGCGACGCUUAUGCGUUGUUGGGUAGGGGAGCGUUCUGUAAGCCUGUGAAGGUGUGCUGUGAGGCAUGCUGGAGGUAUCAGAAGUGCGAAUGCUGACAUAAGUAACGAUAAAGCGGGUGAAAAGCCCGCUCGCCGGAAGACCAAGGGUUCCUGUCCAACGUUAAUCGGGGCAGGGUGAGUCGACCCCUAAGGCGAGGCCGAAAGGCGUAGUCGAUGGGAAACAGGUUAAUAUUCCUGUACUUGGUGUUACUGCGAAGGGGGGACGGAGAAGGCUAUGUUGGCCGGGCGACGGUUGUCCCGGUUUAAGCGUGUAGGCUGGUUUUCCAGGCAAAUCCGGAAAAUCAAGGCUGAGGCGUGAUGACGAGGCACUACGGUGCUGAAGUAACAAAUGCCCUGCUUCCAGGAAAAGCCUCUAAGCAUCAGGUAACAUCAAAUCGUACCCCAAACCGACACAGGUGGUCAGGUAGAGAAUACCAAGGCGCUUGAGAGAACUCGGGUGAAGGAACUAGGCAAAAUGGUGCCGUAACUUCGGGAGAAGGCACGCUGAUAUGUAGGUGAAGCGACUUGCUCGUGGAGCUGAAAUCAGUCGAAGAUACCAGCUGGCUGCAACUGUUUAUUAAAAACACAGCACUGUGCAAACACGAAAGUGGACGUAUACGGUGUGACGCCUGCCCGGUGCCGGAAGGUUAAUUGAUGGGGUCAGCGCAAGCGAAGCUCUUGAUCGAAGCCCCGGUAAACGGCGGCCGUAACUAUAACGGUCCUAAGGUAGCGAAAUUCCUUGUCGGGUAAGUUCCGACCUGCACGAAUGGCGUAAUGAUGGCCAGGCUGUCUCCACCCGAGACUCAGUGAAAUUGAACUCGCUGUGAAGAUGCAGUGUACCCGCGGCAAGACGGAAAGACCCCGUGAACCUUUACUAUAGCUUGACACUGAACAUUGAGCCUUGAUGUGUAGGAUAGGUGGGAGGCUUGGAAGUGUGGACGCCAGUCUGCAUGGAGCCGACCUUGAAAUACCACCCUUUAAUGUUUGAUGUUCUAACGUUGACCCGUAAUCCGGGUUGCGGACAGUGUCUGGUGGGUAGUUUGACUGGGGCGGUCUCCUCCUAAAGAGUAACGGAGGAGCACGAAGGUUGGCUAAUCCUGGUCGGACAUCAGGAGGUUAGUGCAAUGGCAUAAGCCAGCUUGACUGCGAGCGUGACGGCGCGAGCAGGUGCGAAAGCAGGUCAUAGUGAUCCGGUGGUUCUGAAUGGAAGGGCCAUCGCUCAACGGAUAAAAGGUACUCCGGGGAUAACAGGCUGAUACCGCCCAAGAGUUCAUAUCGACGGCGGUGUUUGGCACCUCGAUGUCGGCUCAUCACAUCCUGGGGCUGAAGUAGGUCCCAAGGGUAUGGCUGUUCGCCAUUUAAAGUGGUACGCGAGCUGGGUUUAGAACGUCGUGAGACAGUUCGGUCCCUAUCUGCCGUGGGCGCUGGAGAACUGAGGGGGGCUGCUCCUAGUACGAGAGGACCGGAGUGGACGCAUCACUGGUGUUCGGGUUGUCAUGCCAAUGGCACUGCCCGGUAGCUAAAUGCGGAAGAGAUAAGUGCUGAAAGCAUCUAAGCACGAAACUUGCC